UACGUAGGGUGCAAGCGUUGUCCGGAAUUAUUGGGCCUAAAGCAUCCGUAGCCGGUUCUACAAGUCUUCCGUUAAAUCCACCUGCUCAACAGAUGGGCUGCGGAAGAUACUAUGGAGCUAGGAGGCGGGAGAGGCAAGCGGUACUCGAUGGGUAGGGGUAAAAUCCGUUGAUCCAUUGAAGACCACCAGUGGCGAAGGCGGCUUGCCAGAACGCGCUCGACGGUGAGGGAUGAAAGCUGGGGGAGCAAACCGG
This 253-nucleotide ribosomal RNA is filed under the name uncultured bacterium. RNAcentral describes it as "partial 16S ribosomal RNA". It matches the Rfam family "Bacterial small subunit ribosomal RNA", at positions 524 to 776 of the family's 1533-position model. The record is from RNAcentral.